Molecule: ribosomal RNA, 292 nt
Filed under: uncultured bacterium
Lineage: Bacteria
Description: partial 16S ribosomal RNA
Rfam family: Bacterial small subunit ribosomal RNA
Source: RNAcentral
GUGUCAGCAGCCGCGGUAAUACGUAGGGGGCAAGCGUUGUCCGGAUUUAUUGGGCGUAAAGAGCGUGUAGGCGGCCAGGUAGGUCCGUUGUGAAAACUGGAGGCUUAACCUUCAGACGUCGAUGGAAACCAUCUGGCUAGAGUCCGGAAGAGGAGAAUGGAAUUCCUGGUGUAGCGGUGAAAUGCGCAGAUAUCAGGAAGAACACCCGUGGCGAAGGCGGUUCUCUGGGACGGUACUGACGCUGAGACGCGAAAGCGUGGGGAGCGAACAGGAUUAGAAACCCUUGUAGUCC